GCUCCACAACGCCCCUGGACCUGGCUGGCUGAGGCCUUGAGAGACCUGUUGCGGUGGGAGAUGUCCCUGCCUAUGGCAGGGCGUUGGAACUGGCUGAGCUUUGAGGUCCCUUCUGACCUAAAGCAUUCUGUGAAGGCCUCUCCUCUCUACAAGAGACACCUCAAAGACACUUUUGGAGCUUCUGGAGAUGGACUCAUGCAAGAAGAGACCCAGGGCAGAGGUAGAUCUGCCUCCUCAUCGACCCUCCUGACCACGCUGGGCUGCUGCAUCCCUGCGAGAAGACGACAACGGUAACAGUGGAGUUGAAAUGAGCUGGCCCAGCAGCCUGGCAAGCUGAGCCUUCAGGCUGUGCAAUGGAGAGGACUCUGCUGCUGCCCUUGGGAGGUGAUUCCAAUCUCUGACUGUUCUCAAGGGGAAAAAUUGGCUUCUGGAGUCCAUUGGAAUCUCCCCAGCAGUAACAUGUCCACAUCACCUCUUGUCUUUUUCAUAGAACUCC
Pogoniulus pusillus (Red-fronted tinkerbird) is the source of this 496-nucleotide long non-coding RNA. RefSeq lists it as uncharacterized. NCBI's taxonomy places the organism in Eukaryota, Metazoa, Chordata, Aves, Piciformes, Lybiidae. The record is from RefSeq and is a predicted model, not a curated record. The transcript is spliced from 3 exons.